GAUCUCACUCUGUCACCCAGGCUGGAGUUCAGUGGUGCAGUAAUGGCUCACUGCAGACUUGACAUCCUGACCACAGGGGAGGACUGGACUGGCUGGUUGAUUGUCGAAGAAUUUAAGUGACAUCAGGGGGUCUUACAUCCAAUGUAUUGUUUGGAAAUGGAUAUGCAAGAGAACAAAAACCUCAGACCAUGUAUCCUGCUCAGAGCAUUUUCUUACAGCUCCUGACAAUAGCUUCUUAUAGCAGACAGAAUUUCAUUCAUUGAGUUACAACGGCAUGCCUCUAGGAGAAGGAUUUGGAAAAGAAGAUCUCAUGAUAUAGAUGCCAACAACUUGCUUAGAUAUCCUCUCACAGAAAAUUGAAAAGCUAUGUUCUCUUACUUUAAGUUAAAAUAUGAAUAUUUUAUCAUAUUACUAUAAGUUGAAAUAUCUCUAGAUAAUAUAACUUGG
Molecule: long non-coding RNA, 447 nt
Filed under: Homo sapiens (human)
Lineage: Eukaryota; Metazoa; Chordata; Mammalia; Primates; Hominidae
Description: HSALNT0328723
Source: RNAcentral